This 475-nucleotide ribosomal RNA is filed under the name uncultured bacterium. RNAcentral's name for it is "bacterial SSU rRNA". It matches the Rfam family "Bacterial small subunit ribosomal RNA", at positions 325 to 793 of the family's 1533-position model. The record is from RNAcentral.
CACUGUCACUCCUACGGGAGGCAGCAGUCGGGGAAUAUUGCACAAUGGGCGCAAGCCUGAUGCAGCCAUGCCGCGUGUAUGAAGAAGGCCUUCGGGUUGUAAAGCACUUUCAGUCGUGAGGAAGGUAGUGUACGUUAAUAGCUGCAUUAUUUGACGUUAGCGACAGAAGAAGCACCGGCUAACUCCGUGCCAGCAGCCGCGGUAAUACGGAGGGUGCGAGCGUUAAUCGGAAUUACUGGGCGUAAAGCGCAUGCAGGUGGUUUGUUAAGUCAGAUGUGAAAGCCCCGGGGCUCAACCUCGGAAUAGCAUUUGAAACUGGCAGACUAGAGUACUGUAGAGGGGGUAGAAUUUCAGGUGUAGCGGUGAAAUGCGUAGAGAUCUGAAGGAAUACCGGUGGCGAAGGCGGCCCCCUGGACAGAUACUGACACUCAGAUGCGAAAGCGUGGGGAGCAAACAGGAUUAGAUACCCUGGUAG